Molecule: ribosomal RNA, 2854 nt
Filed under: Escherichia coli
Lineage: Bacteria; Pseudomonadati; Pseudomonadota; Gammaproteobacteria; Enterobacterales; Enterobacteriaceae
Description: partial 23S ribosomal RNA
Rfam family: Bacterial large subunit ribosomal RNA
Source: RNAcentral
CACACUAUCAUUAACUGAAUCCAUAGGUUAAUGAGGCGAACCGGGGGAACUGAAACAUCUAAGUACCCCGAGGAAAAGAAAUCAACCGAGAUUCCCCCAGUAGCGGCGAGCGAACGGGGAGCAGCCCAGAGCCUGAAUCAGUGUGUGUGUUAGUGGAAGCGUCUGGAAAGGCGCGCGAUACAGGGUGACAGCCCCGUACACAAAAAUGCACAUGCUGUGAGCUCGAUGAGUAGGGCGGGACACGUGGUAUCCUGUCUGAAUAUGGGGGGACCAUCCUCCAAGGCUAAAUACUCCUGACUGACCGAUAGUGAACCAGUACCGUGAGGGAAAGGCGAAAAGAACCCCGGCGAGGGGAGUGAAAAAGAACCUGAAACCGUGUACGUACAAGCAGUGGGAGCACGCUUAGGCGUGUGACUGCGUACCUUUUGUAUAAUGGGUCAGCGACUUAUAUUCUGUAGCAAGGUUAACCGAAUAGGGGAGCCGAAGGGAAACCGAGUCUUAACUGGGCGUUAAGUUGCAGGGUAUAGACCCGAAACCCGGUGAUCUAGCCAUGGGCAGGUUGAAGGUUGGGUAACACUAACUGGAGGACCGAACCGACUAAUGUUGAAAAAUUAGCGGAUGACUUGUGGCUGGGGGUGAAAGGCCAAUCAAACCGGGAGAUAGCUGGUUCUCCCCGAAAGCUAUUUAGGUAGCGCCUCGUGAAUUCAUCUCCGGGGGUAGAGCACUGUUUCGGCAAGGGGGUCAUCCCGACUUACCAACCCGAUGCAAACUGCGAAUACCGGAGAAUGUUAUCACGGGAGACACACGGCGGGUGCUAACGUCCGUCGUGAAGAGGGAAACAACCCAGACCGCCAGCUAAGGUCCCAAAGUCAUGGUUAAGUGGGAAACGAUGUGGGAAGGCCCAGACAGCCAGGAUGUUGGCUUAGAAGCAGCCAUCAUUUAAAGAAAGCGUAAUAGCUCACUGGUCGAGUCGGCCUGCGCGGAAGAUGUAACGGGGCUAAACCAUGCACCGAAGCUGCGGCAGCGACGCUUAUGCGUUGUUGGGUAGGGGAGCGUUCUGUAAGCCUGUGAAGGUGUGCUGUGAGGCAUGCUGGAGGUAUCAGAAGUGCGAAUGCUGACAUAAGUAACGAUAAAGCGGGUGAAAAGCCCGCUCGCCGGAAGACCAAGGGUUCCUGUCCAACGUUAAUCGGGGCAGGGUGAGUCGACCCCUAAGGCGAGGCCGAAAGGCGUAGUCGAUGGGAAACAGGUUAAUAUUCCUGUACUUGGUGUUACUGCGAAGGGGGGACGGAGAAGGCUAUGUUGGCCGGGCGACGGUUGUCCCGGUUUAAGCGUGUAGGCUGGUUUUCCAGGCAAAUCCGGAAAAUCAAGGCUGAGGCGUGAUGACGAGGCACUACGGUGCUGAAGCAACAAAUGCCCUGCUUCCAGGAAAAGCCUCUAAGCAUCAGGUAACAUCAAAUCGUACCCCAAACCGACACAGGUGGUCAGGUAGAGAAUACCAAGGCGCUUGAGAGAACUCGGGUGAAGGAACUAGGCAAAAUGGUGCCGUAACUUCGGGAGAAGGCACGCUGAUAUGUAGGUGAAGUCCCUUGCGGAUGGAGCUGAAAUCAGUCGAAGAUACCAGCUGGCUGCAACUGUUUAUUAAAAACACAGCACUGUGCAAACACGAAAGUGGACGUAUACGGUGUGACGCCUGCCCGGUGCCGGAAGGUUAAUUGAUGGGGUUAGNNNNNNNNNNNNNNNNNNNNNNNNNNNNNNNNNNNNNNNNNNNNNNNNNNNNNNNNNNNNNNNNNNNNNNNNNNNNNNNNNNNNNNNNNNNNNNNAGGCGAAGCUCUUGAUCGAAGCCCCGGUAAACGGCGGCCGUAACUAUAACGGUCCUAAGGUAGCGAAAUUCCUUGUCGGGUAAGUUCCGACCUGCACGAAUGGCGUAAUGAUGGCCAGGCUGUCUCCACCCGAGACUCAGUGAAAUUGAACUCGCUGUGAAGAUGCAGUGUACCCGCGGCAAGACGGAAAGACCCCGUGAACCUUUACUAUAGCUUGACACUGAACAUUGAGCCUUGAUGUGUAGGAUAGGUGGGAGGCUUUGAAGUGUGGACGCCAGUCUGCAUGGAGCCGACCUUGAAAUACCACCCUUUAAUGUUUGAUGUUCUAACGUUGACCCGUAAUCCGGGUUGCGGACAGUGUCUGGUGGGUAGUUUGACUGGGGCGGUCUCCUCCUAAAGAGUAACGGAGGAGCACGAAGGUUGGCUAAUCCUGGUCGGACAUCAGGAGGUUAGUGCAAUGGCAUAAGCCAGCUUGACUGCGAGCGUGACGGCGCGAGCAGGUGCGAAAGCAGGUCAUAGUGAUCCGGUGGUUCUGAAUGGAAGGGCCAUCGCUCAACGGAUAAAAGGUACUCCGGGGAUAACAGGCUGAUACCGCCCAAGAGUUCAUAUCGACGGCGGUGUUUGGCACCUCGAUGUCGGCUCAUCACAUCCUGGGGCUGAAGUAGGUCCCAAGGGUAUGGCUGUUCGCCAUUUAAAGUGGUACGCGAGCUGGGUUUAGAACGUCGUGAGACAGUUCGGUCCCUAUCUGCCGUGGGCGCUGGAGAACUGAGGGGGGCUGCUCCUAGUACGAGAGGACCGGAGUGGACGCAUCACUGGUGUUCGGGUUGUCAUGCCAAUGGCACUGCCCGGUAGCUAAAUGCGGAAGAGAUAAGUGCUGAAAGCAUCUAAGCACGAAACUUGCCCCGAGAUGAGUUCUCCCUGACUCCUUGAGAGUCCUGAAGGAACGUUGAAGACGACGACGUUGAUAGGCCGGGUGUGUAAGCGCAGCGAUGCGUUGAGCUAACCGGUACUAAUGAACCGUGAGGCUUAACCUU